This is a long non-coding RNA of Brassica napus (rape), 525 nucleotides long. RefSeq lists it as uncharacterized. NCBI's taxonomy places the organism in Eukaryota, Viridiplantae, Streptophyta, Magnoliopsida, Brassicales, Brassicaceae. The record is from RefSeq and is a predicted model, not a curated record. The transcript has 2 exons.
AUGCUUUUCCACAAGUGGGGUAAAGUCGCUCUCCAAGCAUCUGUCUCCAACCAAAUCAGUAUAGAGAUAAAUGAGCAAGACAAUCUUUAUCAACUCUCUUUAAACGUCUACUUUAAAAGAUAUUUAAAGUUAGAGAUAUGCUCAGAAAUAUACAUUAAAUGUAAAAGCAAACGCAGAAAAAAGGGAGAGAGGGGAAAACCCGUGAGCGAUCAGCUAAGACUAGCGGAAGCUAAGAGAAAAGUAAGCUUAGAGAAUGGAAGUAAGGAAGCUUUCUCGUGAUGUUUGAAGAAGCAUCAAUUGGCAAAUGCAUGACUGGAGGAGGCAUUGGAACCUGUAAGUGUACUUGAAGAGAGUUUAAUAAGGAACCUGUAAGUGUACUUGUUUAUCUUCUUUGCGCUAUGUAAAGUGGUUUCUUUCCUAUCAUCCUCCCAUACCAUUUCACUCAGCUGUAUUGUUAUAAAUCUUAGUUCAUAUCUCAGACAGAUAUCAAAAGAGAAAAAUAAAAAUAUUUAACAAUUUCAUUCA